Rattus norvegicus (Norway rat) is the source of this 1592-nucleotide long non-coding RNA. RefSeq lists it as uncharacterized. The record is from RefSeq and is a predicted model, not a curated record. Lineage: Eukaryota; Metazoa; Chordata; Mammalia; Rodentia; Muridae.
AAUAGCCCAAGAGAGUGGUGAGUCAGAAAAGGCAUCAAAGGCAGGUCCUGGAUAAUGUUCUUGUGAAGGUUGUAUUCUCUUUCUUCUUUCCAUCCUGUAUCAGGUACAUUCCUCAUUGCUGCCGCAGGAGCAUGAGGUUGCUCACAUCAUGUUCCCAUCCGGGACGCAGCAGGGCAACCGUGGCUGACUGCAGACUGUGAGGGCACCAAUGCCGGCACGGUGAACCUCCUCAAGGCUACAGCACUAACUCUGUGGUCUCAGACAAGACUCUGUGCAUUCCUGUGUCACAGUUUCUUCAUACAUAAGCUGCUCCGGUCUCCAUCUUCCUCCAAGGGCACAGGAAUGACUCCAGGGACCCGAACCAGGAGAGCUGAAUCUUCAUGCUCCCAGGAUCAUCAGUACAAUUAUUGUGAGCAAAGACUUUGGAAUCAAAAUCCUGAGCUGAUCUGUGGUACAACAUUGUCUGGUUGCCUAAUAUUGGACCACCAUGAAUUAAAGCUGGACUUCAACAAGAAUAGAAACAAGAAGAAGUCUACACAUUCACGGAAUCUGAACGACUACUCAAUGAUCUCUGGGUCAGGGAAGAACGAAAGAAAGAAAGUAAAGACUUCCAGGGUUCAGUGAAAAUGAAGGCACAACAUGCUCAACUUAUGCAGUGCUAAAAUGAAAGCUCAUAGCAGUCAGUGCCCUCAAACAUAAAUUAGAGAAAUCCCGUGCAAGAGACUUAACAGCAAACCUGAAAGCUCUAGAACAAAAAGAAGCAAACACACCCAAGAGGAAAAGAUGACAGAAAAUACUUAAACUCAGGGCUAAGAUUAACAAAAUAGAAACAAAGAGAAUUAUAAAAGAGUCGGUGAAACAAAGAGCAGGUUCUUUGAGAAAAUCAACAAGAUAUACAAACCCUUAUCCAAACUAAAUAAAAGACAGAGAUUCCCAAAUUAACAAAAUCAGAAAUGAAAAGGGAAGUAUAACAGCGUACACCAAGGAAAUAAAAAAAAAUCAUACUUUUUUGAAGCUUACUUCAAAAACUUGUAUUUCGAAAAAUUGGAAAAUCUAAAAUAAAUGGACCUUGUUCUUGAUAGAUAUCAAUUACCCAAAUUAAAUCAAGAUCAGAUAAACAAGUGCCAAGAUCAGAUUUAUGGCACUGAAGGAAAUAGAAGCAGUCAUUAAAAGUCUGUCUGUCUGUCUGUCUGUCUGUCUCUCUCUCUCUCUCUCCCUCUCUAAACACACACACACACACACACACACACACACACACUAUUUGCACAUGAAACCCAUCUGCCCCAUGCACACACUGAGGGUGGGGAGAAAGAUUGGUCCCAUUUUAGUGAGAGACAGAAGGAGGCUGCAUAGCCAGGGUGUGAAGUAAUAUGUAAGACCUAAGAGCAACAAGAAACGGGGACAGCAGUUAUUUAGCCCAAAGACAUAAUUUCUGCAAUCAACGUCACGGAACCCGGGAGCAGAUCUUCCUGUAGUGGAGAAUCCAUAUGCUGUUGUAACUUGUUAACCUGCUGCUGGGAAAACCACUCAAGCCACAACAGACUCCUGAUUCACAGUGAUUGCCGGAGUAAUAAAAUUGUGUCUUAAGCUGC